GUGCGCACUUCGGCAACACAUAUACUAAAAUUGGAAAGAGCGAUACAGAGAAGAUUAGCAUGGCCCCUGGGCAAGGAUGACAUGCAAAUGUUGAAGCGCUUCAUAUUUUA
Molecule: small nuclear RNA, 110 nt
Organism: Suncus etruscus (white-toothed pygmy shrew)
Lineage: Eukaryota; Metazoa; Chordata; Mammalia; Eulipotyphla; Soricidae
Source: RefSeq, a predicted model, not a curated record